GCAUUUGAGAAGGCAUCUGGAAAGGUACUACUUGAUUUUCUUAUAGUUCAAGCUGCACUUACAUGCUGUUGAAACUGUGUUUCUAUACAUAACCUUGCUUUAAAAAAAAAGUGAUUUUUUAUUUUGUGUUCUCAAGGUUAAAAUCAUCUCUGAAAUGUAAGAAUUUGGCUUUUAGAGCUUCUCAAUCAUGGAGAUGUUUGUAUUUAAGAUUUCCACCACAUACGACGUUGUUGAAAAAAAAUGUGAAUCAAUUUUAUUUAGUGCCAACCAAGCAACCUUUGCUUCUUUCAUCCCCAAAAAAAAUAUUAUUUUAAUGAAUGUCAUCUGCCACAUACAUGCCUGAUUUCUGAUUAUGCAUAUCUCAAGGCUUGAGGUAUUUCAAUUGGCAGACCUGGCACGACUUGAGCUUGUUUCUGCGCAAUUUUUCCUGUACUAAUUUUUAUUUUUAUCUUUUUUAUUAAUGCUCGCCUUGUGAUACUGUGACAGAAAAUUCCUCUUGUAAUGGC
RNAcentral lists this unclassified non-coding RNA (506 nucleotides) under Hevea brasiliensis (rubber tree). Lineage: Eukaryota; Viridiplantae; Streptophyta; Magnoliopsida; Malpighiales; Euphorbiaceae. The record is from RNAcentral.